UCUACAACAGUUUUUGUGUAAAACCAACUUCGAUGGAGACCCAAAAUUCGCGGCCCCGCUCUUAAUUCAUGCGCGCUGUUCAGUCUCCCAACCACAACCCUCGUUCUCUCUCUCAGUUCUAGAAAGCUCUCAACCUAAGUCUCAACGACGAAGUCGAUUUCGGCAAGCACAACCUCAACGACGACAAGUUUCAAGAUUUUUCUGGUUAAUGUUGGGUGAGCUUUCUGGCUGGUGAUGAACUCGAAGCCGCUUUUUCCUGUUUCUCCAUUUGCUUGCCAGAUCCAAAUAGAACGAUUUAUUGGGAGAAACGGGCCACACACGGUCCAUCUUUUCUUGUCUCCCACGCAUUUCUAAUUGGUAACUUGGCGUUCUAGUAUUAAGAUCAAUCGAGUUGACUGAAUUUCAUUAUCCCAAGCCUCAAAUAUUUCAAAAGAUGCGAGUUGAUCUGGCUUCUAUGUGGAGUCCUACUAGCAGAACAGGAAACUUGAGGAGAUUCUCUGUAAAAGGCAACUUGAUACCUUUGAACGAGAAUGCUUCAAAUUCUUUCUACAAUGAAUCCUUGACAUUCAAUGAGGACGUAAGUAUGAAGGAUCUUUUGGAAGUUGUAGUACCAUUUGAUAUAUUGUUGGAUCGGAGAAAACAUGAUAACUAUCUCAAUAGUAUUGGGAAUAAUCUAGAGACAUGCACGAAAUCAAAGGUUGUUCAUGAUGCUAGGUUAACUUUGGCAUCAUUGGUAAUUUGUGAGGAAGCACUUGAGUGAGAAUUGAUUAUAUCAGCUUCAACUGUCAACUGCUGAAUACUAUAAUGCUAUGGUGUAAUCAAUUUUAUAGUUCUUAAAGGUUUCUUGUGUUUUUGCAGUUAUGUUCCGAGAAUGGAAAUUACAUUAUCAAGCCGAUUAAAAAGCCUAUAUAGUUUAUACAGCAAGAAACCUGGUGGAAUCAUUGCUCUGCUUGAUGAAGCUUGGGUCCAACCAUCAUCUGUCAAAGUUUCUUCAACAGUUUGAGUCAAUUUCUAAAACUAAGGACCAAUGGAAUGUAGGAGCAUAAUGAUUUGAGGUCAAAUCCUUCUCAAGAAGGAGGGGAUGAUGGAAGACCAUCCUUGGAACUUCAUGUGGGACCCAUCAAAUGGUCCAUAGCUAGGAGAAUGGAGGAAGAUGAAGGAGAUA
Molecule: non-coding RNA, 1165 nt
Organism: Cajanus cajan (pigeon pea)
Lineage: Eukaryota; Viridiplantae; Streptophyta; Magnoliopsida; Fabales; Fabaceae
Source: RefSeq, a predicted model, not a curated record